This 490-nucleotide ribosomal RNA is filed under the name uncultured bacterium. RNAcentral's name for it is "partial 16S ribosomal RNA". It matches the Rfam family "Bacterial small subunit ribosomal RNA", at positions 30 to 507 of the family's 1533-position model. The record is from RNAcentral.
AUUGAACGCUGGCGGCAGGCCUAACACAUGCAAGUCGAACGGUAACAGGAAACAGCUUGCUGUUUCGCUGACGAGUGGCGGACGGGUGAGUAAUGUCUGGGAAACUGCCUGAUGGAGGGGGAUAACUACUGGAAACGGUAGCUAAUACCGCAUAACGUCGCAAGACCAAAGAGGGGGACCUUCGGGCCUCUUGCCAUCGGAUGUGCCCAGAUGGGAUUAGCUAGUAGGCGGGGUAACGGCUCACCUAGGCGACGAUCCCUAGCUGGUCUGAGAGGAUGACCAGCCACACUGGAACUGAGACACGGUCCAGACUCCUACGGGAGGCAGCAGUGGGGAAUAUUGCACAAUGGGCGCAAGCCUGAUGCAGCCAUGCCGCGUGUAUGAAGAAGGCCUUCGGGUUGUAAAGUACUUUCAGCGGGGAGGAAGGGAGUAAAGUUAAUACCUUUGCUCAUUGACGUUACCCGCAGAAGAAGCACCGGCUAACUCCGUG